Molecule: microRNA precursor, 98 nt
Filed under: Marmota monax (woodchuck)
Lineage: Eukaryota; Metazoa; Chordata; Mammalia; Rodentia; Sciuridae
Source: RNAcentral
AAUGGAAAUGCUGGGUCAUAUGUAACCCAUGUUUAACCUUUUGAGGAACUCUCAGACUUUUCUAAAGUGGCUGUACACAUUGCAUUGCCCCCAGCAGU